Gallus gallus (chicken) is the source of this 3239-nucleotide long non-coding RNA. The record is from Ensembl. NCBI's taxonomy places the organism in Eukaryota, Metazoa, Chordata, Aves, Galliformes, Phasianidae.
CGCUGCACCGCCCCCGCCUCCCGGCACCGCUCACCCCCCUCCCGCCGCUCCCAGACUUCCACCCCACGCUGCCAGUGGAAGGAAGGGGACCACCCAAGGAAGAGCGAAGCCUUCCUCGGUUCUUGGAAGCGUUACAGAACGGGAAGAUGAACGGAAGCGAUCCGCUCCGCGGCUUUCACAGCUCGAGGAACACCGAGCUGCCACCGCGUGGACCUGCACAGGUGGCCGCACUUCGUGCAACAGCAGGAAACCUCUCCUGAAGGGUCUGGCCUCAGGGCAGCGAAAGCAGCUACGGAAACGGGAGUUCGGAAGACCCUCCCACCCCAAAUCCCCCUUGUCCACCCUCGCUGCCCCGCGCAGCCCAGCCCUGCCAGCAGCCGCUGAUGGGCACGUCGCAACCCGCGCCUUUGCCAGGGCUGAAUCACCCUGCGCUUGGAGAGCUUCUCCCACCGUCUUUCCAAAAUCUCUGUUAGUGUAAUUUCUUCUCUGUCCCCAAAGGGCACGAAGAGCAGUUUAUUGUUGUACACUGUGGCAGUCUGUUAUAUACUGAAAGCUUUAUUCACCUCCCUUGCUUCCCUCUGCAUUUGGCAGCGCCAGUCCGCCCAGCUUGUCCCCGUGGGUCACAACACCGAGCUCCACCAUCCCUGCUGGCACGGCACAUCCACACAUCUCCCAUAGCCUCCAUGUCCCACACUGCUCCCAUAGGAGGCUGCCACUGUUGACUCAUGUACCCCAAUGGCUGAGUUUUUGCCCUAAAGAAACAGAGUUUGUCCCAGGCACGGUGCCAGCUCCCUGCUGCAUCCUGGAUCUCAUAAGAACAAGAUGCUUCCUACUGUCCGCAUUCCCAUGGGUACACUUUCUGGGCAAAAGUGAAGAAAAAACAGCAGUUAAGCCAAUGCGUUUCCUCCUUGGCCAGCCUGAUCCACCUCCUGGGGCCAACGGAGGCUAUGAGAGCCAUGAUUCAUUGUGCCCGUUUUGUAUUUGUUUCCUCUCAGUGUUGUGGUGUAAGCAUUCAAUAAAAAAUGUGGCACAUUUAAUGGGUGGAGAAAUGGCAGACCCUGGGCAGCAACAGCCAUGGGGAGGAUCUUUAAUCUCUGCUGGCACACUGCAUAUACCCAGCAACAGCUAGGAAGGUUCGGUUGUCUCAAAUUGCACUUGCAGUCAACAUUACACAUGCAAGUCUACACACAGCCCCAGCUAAAUCAAAAAUAAAAGGCGGAUCCCUUUUUGUUUUGCUGGAAAAUUCUGUGUCACUGGGUUGCAGCACAAGGAAAUAAAAUCUCACUCGAGGCCAGGAUUCUGCCUAGGGAAGGGCUCAGCACAGAGCCUGUCAGACACAUUUUCCUCACCUUCUGCCCUCGCAGGUGGUGGGUGCAGGCUGGCACCUUACUCCUGUCAGUUGGAGCAGAAUGAGGGCUGGAACUGGGCUUGCUGGCAGCUCAGCAGAGGAAUGCAUUCAGCAGCAGGCAGGUGAGAGCAGCCCCAGCCUUGCUUCUCAUGCCAUGCUUCAGUUCAUGUAAAACCAGUGCACGUCCAGCUGCAGUCAUCAUUUCCUUUGUUGUCUUCACACAGGUGAGUGUCCACAUCUAGGCAAUUAACACCCAGACAAUCCCUGUGAACGGCAUCCCAACAGGGUGAUGUAUGCUGCCGCUGGCUUUGGCUCCUUGCAAGUAGAAAAUGGGAAAGAAAAUGGGCAAAGAGGAACCUGUAUACUUUAAAGCUUAACAAAACCAGACUAUGUGAAUGACUUAUCUCCCCCAGCCUCUUGUGAUCAUCUCGCUUAAGGUCAGAAAAGCCCAUCAGCUCUGAUAACCCAGCAAACAAGGACAUCCUCUCCUGAUGAAAAGGCAGCUCUUGGAGUCCCACAGGCUGCACUACAGCAUGUGGGGAACAUGAGGCCUUUGCUGCUGCUACAGAACCUGCCAGCAGCUGAAAACCACUUUGUCAGGAGGUUAAGUUCACAGUGCAACCGCAACAUCUUUAAAUAUCUGCUGCUGCAGCAGCAGCAUCUUGCUGGAAGAGAACUCCAGUCCUGUCCACGCUGCAAGCUGUAAAGUGGCUGGGCUAACACUGAGCACAGCUCAGGUGUUCCUGGGCAAGCUGUCAGGAGCACGCAGGGACACGGAGGAUGUACUUCUCCAUGAGGACCCGUAUUUCUCCACAAGGACCUGCAGUUAAUUCUUUACAAGCUCAUUUCCUGAAGGCCAGACGUCCCACAGCCACACUGCUGGAGGAGGAGAUCAUCCCUGGGUCACAGCCAGCAGCCUGGGAGCUCAGGGAUGAGCAGGAGGGAUUCCCUUGGAUGAGAGAAGCGUUCUCCAGCCCAGGCCCGUGGCAAGAAACGCUUCCUUGCAGGGCUAUGUUUUAUUUCCCACACAUCCACAGUUCUUCAGACUAGCAGGGUUAGUGGUACCCACAUCUUUUGGGAUAACGUUCCUUUGGGACAACAAAGUCGGUGGCCAUCUUCUGAAGAUUCUUGGGUAUACAUCUUCCACAGGAAGGGGAAUGGCUCUGUGCUGUGGCAGUGAUGGCACUUCGUCCAGCUGUCGGCAGCUGCCAUCGGUGAUAUGCAAACAGAGCUACUCUCACUGCUCUGUGCUGUAACACAAAGGGCUCACUGAAGGAUUAUUUGGGUUGGCAGCACUGCCACCAACUUAUGAAAUCCUGAAAGCACAAACAGAAAGCAGUGAAGUAACACAGUCAGGAAAACACAGAAUUUCAACACAGAAAGUGCCUCCUGCAGAGAGAGGGAAGAAGCAGCAGCUCCAGCAUCACUUUACCUGCAGCUGGUGCAUGUGUCUGCAGAGAUGUAGGAGCCUGGCUGAGCUGACCGGAUGCAGGGAGGCUGAGAAACCUCUCAAGAUAUCACAUCUAAUGCCACACUGCUUCUUUUCCUCCCCCAUUGCUACCACCCUGCCUUCCCUGCCCAGGGGUGCCAGCACUGCCUCCAUCUAUGCCCAGUCUCCUACCAGCCCUCUCCUUUCUUUCAAGAAACGAAGUCAUUGUUUACCUCCUUUUUAGUGAACUAGAAACAAGCCAACAGACUUCAAAAGGCUGAGGUGUAUGCCAUUCCUCUGUGUUUCCACAAAGUACGUCUUUUUUGCAGCUUUUCCUGCUGUUUACAGCAUGGGCAGAACUGGGUGGGACCAUCCAUGCACUCAGGAACCAAAUCCUCAGCCAUGGAUGACCAGCAUCAUUCCAGCUGAACUGGUUCCACUGCAACUGCAGGCACACAACAG